RNAcentral lists this ribosomal RNA (301 nucleotides) under uncultured bacterium. Its description in RNAcentral is "partial 16S ribosomal RNA". It matches the Rfam family "Bacterial small subunit ribosomal RNA", at positions 509 to 807 of the family's 1533-position model. The record is from RNAcentral.
CAGUAGCCGCGGUAAUACGUAGGGUGCGAGCGUUAAUCGGAAUUACUGGGCGUAAAGCGUGCGCAGGCGGUUCGUUAAGACAGAUGUGAAAUCCCCGGGCUUAGCCUGGGAACUGCAUUUGUGACUGGCGAGCUAGAGUACGGUAGAGGGGGAUGGAAUUCCGCGUGUAGCAGUGAAAUGCGUAGAUAUACGGAGGAACACCGAUGGCGAAGGCAAUCCCCUGGACCUGUACUGACGCUCAUGCACGAAAGCGUGGGGAGCAAACAGGAUUAGAUACCCGGGUAGUCCCUGUCUCUUAUAC